Molecule: long non-coding RNA, 8171 nt
Organism: Crotalus tigris (Tiger rattlesnake)
Lineage: Eukaryota; Metazoa; Chordata; Lepidosauria; Squamata; Viperidae
Exons: 4
Source: RefSeq, a predicted model, not a curated record
GUCUAUUAGUCCUGGGGAAAGGCAGUGGACAAGAUCUUCAAGGCUUUAAGAGCAGCUACCUGUAUUGCAUGCAUGUCUCUCCUAGCUCGAUAAGGCUCUCUGAGAGACAACACAAGACGGGAACCAAGUAGUGGUGAAUACAUCUUUCAGGAAAGGCCAGCUGAUUUAAAAACAGCGUCGGCAAAGGCAUCGGAGAGUCGGAGCACUCUCCAAUCGUCGGAGGCCUCCCCAGGAGUCUGCUGAUCACUGGAGGCCUUCCAGAACAGUCGCCGAUCGUUGGAGGCUUCAGCUGAUCGUCGGAGGCCUCCCCAAGCAGAAGCUGAUCGUCGGAGGCAUUCUGGAUUGUCGGAAACCUCCCUAAGCGAACGGCCGAGCUGCGCAGCAUAGGUAGAGGCACCUGAGUGUUGGAGGCCUCCCUAGCUUUACCGCAAGCUCCCUGCAAGGCCGUUUGAGCUGCUGAGCAAUCCAGUAGCCAGCUGAUCAUCAGAGGAUUGCAGGCUGCAUCGGAGGACCCAGACAGGUCAGAUCUUUAUCUUGAUCAUUGUAGGAGCCAGGAGCUUCCAACUGGAGCAGGGCUCGCCCCUAGAGGCCUCACCUGAGCUGUUUCACAGUCUCUGAGCACCACAGUCUCCACCUCGUCCUGACUCGCCAGGCCUCACAGAGGACGUCUCAUCGGAGUUGGGAUCGGACCACUACAAUUCUUCUCGCCUGAUCCUAUCAGAUGAUAAGGUACCCCAGCACGGGCUCCUUGACCAUUCCCUUUUCAACUCCUUGCUCCUCAAGGCCUGCACCAUGGCCACGUCACAUGUCCCUUGCCCCCCGUUCUUCCUCAACACAGUGCAGAAACAGUGGGAUAACCUGGGUUCUCUUCCCAGUCUGGGAUCUACAGAGAACAACUUGUUCAGUGUGACCCCCUCCCUCGCUCCUUUUUGGAGGUCCAUCAGGUUGAUGAGCUUCUGAUGUCUCUGUUUCCCAACAAUGAUAUCCCAGGGGACAUAGCCAAAGCUCUUAAGGCUGAGGUCAAAAGGAAUGAAACGGCCCUCCCUUAGGGACACAGGGCUUUGGUAGGUCCCACUAGUGGAUUCUCCAUCCAAUCAUGCUGAAGAAGGGGCGUUAUCUUACCUGAACACCUUUUCUCAGCAUGAUGAUGAAGAAUCCACCCCCACCCCAGAUAAAGUCAGUUGGUCCUGAUUCCAAUGAGAGAAACGCAGGUGCGUGGACUAACGUCUGUACAUUGACUCAGUCUCAAACUGGGCAUGGGGACAAAGGGAGGCAUAACUUUAACUCUGACUUAGUCUGAUUGGAGCAGGAAGAUUAAGACAACCCACUAGUGGAUUCUCCAUCAUCAUGCUGAGAAAAGGCGUUCAGGUAAGACAACACCCCAUUUCUUCAGUUUGUUUGCAGAGAUGGCAUUUGCUGUUUGUUGUAUUCUCAAUAAUGGUUUUAUAUGCAUUUUCUCGUAAGGCCUGUUCUUCUGCAGCCAGAAUUAGCCUUUGUCUCUUUCUUCUACUUUCCUGCUCUUAGUCAUUGCCAGGUCUUUUUGCUAUCUAUUUUGCCUAAUAGUUGAUAUUUUUUUAAUAUAUUGGUCAUGUAAUACUUUGCCUUGCCAUGUUUCUUUUCUAUUCUUCUUUUGGUCUUUAUAGGCCAGCUUGGUCUCUUUGGUAUUCAUUAAAUCUUCAUAGUGUACUAGUUUUACUGUAUCAUCUUCACUGUCCUUGGAAAUUCUUCCAAUGUUCUUUAUACUUUUUCAACUUUGUUGUGUACUUGCAACAUUCCAUACCACUUACGUUCUUUGGUAUAAAAAGAGUGUGUCUACUUCACUGCAUGGAUGAAAAACAUGAUUUAUGUUAUUGUCAUUAUUUUUCUGGUCUUCCUAUUCAGGGCUUUUAGCUCUAAUUGAGUCCAGUCUAUUCUAACCUAAAUAUUGGAAUUGGCAAGGUAUUAUUUGCCAGGAUGGUAUUUCCACCACUGGUUAUUAUUAUAAUUAUUUCAUAUUCCACUUUCAUCCAGAAUGACAAGAUUACCUAUUAUAGCAAUCACACAUCAAACCAAUUAAAUAAAAAAGAACAUUGCUGUAAUAUCAUUCUUCUCCCCAUCCCAGAAUAAAAUUUGAAACAGAAUCUCCAAGACCCUGGGUGAUAUUUAAACUAUGAAACAUUUUUUUUUGCUCUUUAAAAGUAUUGAUAAAUCAAUGUAUAGGUAGUUUAAAAGACAAAGCAAAAGGAGAUUAUCUGUCCUAUUUAUGGUCCCUUGAAGAAGUGUUCUUUUCAGAACCAUGAUGAUGCAUUUCGUAGAAUUCUACCAAGAGCCCAAAAGAGAAGAAAAUCUGUGCUCAUCACUGAGAAGCAAUGAUUAAUGGUGAUUAUGGUGAUUAAAGAUGAACAAUAGGUCCUGGAUAUUUUUGGUUUUCUCAGCCCACUCCCAACUCUUCAACAGAUGACAAGUGCAAUACACAGCUGCAGGAUUAUUCAGAUUCCUUCUUUUUGCAGUUUUAGGAGUUAAGCAGCUAUAAACCUCCUUAUAUUUAUGGAUGUUCCAUCUCUUCUUUCUCUCUCCUUUUAAGCAGGUAUUAUAUCCUUGAAUAUUAAUUUAGCAAUGGCAGAUUCUGUAACUUUGAAUCUAUUUUUCUUCUCCCACUCACUGAAUUUUAAAAUAUACUCUUGUUUCAACAUUUUAAACAGCAGAGGAAUUACUACUAAAUUCAUUAAUUGCUUUUUUUGUAUAGAUCAAAUUGAGGAGAACAUCUGGAAGUGCAAACUUAAUGCCUGGUCAUAGUAAAAAAAACUAGAAGUGAGCCAAUAAGCUGAGUCUAUACAAUGAUUUAAACAUUAAUAUGAUUUGAUUAAUUUUUGUCUUAUGAAGCCAGUUAAUCAUGUUUCCAAGCAAAGUUGAACCAAUUUAGCAUUAUGUGUGACACACAUUGUUAUGGCUUAUUCAGAGGAACCAAUGCAAAAUGAACUAGGCAAACCUAAUCAAUAAACACGUAAUUGUUCAGCCUAAAUUGUCUUACUCAAGAGUUGCAGUUGUCUAAAAGACUACAUUUUCAUUAUUUGGGUACAUCUUGUGGUAAAUUUGGAAAUACAGCAAUGUAGAAUGAAGUGAUUUUACUAUUGGAAAAAUUGAAUGUUAUGAUCUUAUUACACUUAAUUUGUGUCAUUACCUGAUCUGUUUUCAAGCCUAGGUAGGUAGGUAGGUAUGUAAGUAGGUAGACAGAUAGACAGACAGACAGAUAGAUGCUCAUAUCAUCAUAGAGAUCUUGCAUACUCUAAAAUAUUUUAAAUACUACAUAAUUCUAUUAUUGUCUCCUUUUCACCAUUUGUACCUAUGUGUACAUUAAGUUCUUCAAUACGUGGUAUCUUAGAGAAGCCCUGCCUUUGAAAGACUAAAUGUUGGUGUCUAAUAAAUAUUCUUUUAUUUUUCUGAGUAUUCAAAUGCAAUUAUAAUUCUGCUGUAAUAAUUGUGUGAAUCUUAUUGAUAUAAAAUAUACAUAUGUGGUGCGUAUAUGUUCCAAUAAGAGCCAUACAAUUCUAAACAUAUAUAUAUGCACACACAUGUAAUUUUUUAUUCAUUUUUAUUCAUUGUUUUGGAUACAGGAGAAUAUAUACAAAAAGAAGUAAAAUAUUACAAAAUGUUAUAGAUAUUAUAAAAGAAGAAUAAAAAAACAAAGUAAAAGGUAACAAUCAUGUUCAUUAUAUCCUUUUGUAAAAAAGGAGGAGCCUGUUUCAGGUACUGAUUCCAUGGAGACUAGAUAUUCAGUGACAUCACCACUAUGAUGUAUUAAGGCUUGCACAUACAGUGGUAUUAUUUGAAGACUCUGUUUCCAUACAACAACUAUGUUUCUGUUGUUCACUCUCAUACGUCCUCAUUUAUUCUUGAUUUUUUUUUUUGCUUCUUCCCUUAUUAUCAAAUAUAUUGGUUGCUAGGGCCAUAAGUAGCUAUAAGGUAAAUAGGUUGGUUGAAUUAAUGGUUGCUGUCACUGUAUAAUAAUAGCUACUAUGAACAGCUCCAAAAAGAGUAUCUGGGCCUGUCUCUCAGGAAAUAGUUCUCUCGUUCUUAUAUACAGAGAGAGAGAGAGAGAGAGAGAGAGAGAGAGAAAAUACUUCUUAGUCACAGGGGUUAAAAAUUAAACAGAUGGACUCAAAAAGAUAGGAUAAUUAAGAUGCACGAUAAGGAAACACCCUCUAGUUACAACCAAUAGUUUUUUUCUCGGAGACUUGCUAUUUUUUUUCUUCCUGUAAAGGUUUCACUUUCCAGUCAGAUUUGUAGCCCUGGAAUUACCUGGCUAUUUCCAAUAUUUAUGCACUUUUUAAAACAAUCAACAAGAUCUGGACAGGAAUACAUAAACUUGUACUACCGUGUUUCUCAAAAGUAGGACCUACCCCCAAAAUAAGCCCUACCUUGAUUUUGGGAGGUGGGCACAUACCUAAAAAUCAAGCUUGGGUGGGGGUGGGGGGUGAAGUUUACCAUUGCAGCCAGGCCUCCCAUGACUCGACAUUUGCCUCACCUUGCUGACCCACUUCUUCUGCAGCCAAAAGAGCAGCUUCAUUCUGCAGCUGACAAUGGAGCUCUGGCCUGCAUUUCACUGUCAGAAGUCUUUUUGGAAGACCUCUGCAGUCGAAAACCAAGCUAUGAUAGUAGUACGGUAGUACAAGUAUAUGCAUUCCUGUCCAGAUUGAAUCCAUAGCUUGGUUCUCGGCUGUAGAGACCUUCCAGAAAGACCUCCGACAGUGAAAUGCAGGCCAGAACUUCAUUGUCAGCUGCAGAAUGCUGCUCCUUCAGCUGCAGAAGAAGUGGACCGGCUGGACGGGGCUGUCAGUGUUGCUGCUGUGAGCUCCAGACUGUGUUGUCUCUUAUCUCCCCCACUCCAUUGGAACAUGCUUCCUCUUCCCUGGAAAUCUACUGCAGUUCAUCACAUCAUCUUCCCCUUUAUAGAUGUGUUCCAUAACAGUUAGCAAAAGGCACCUGUUAUGAUAUCAGUUCUGUCAAAACUAGCUGAAUCAUUUGCACAAAAUAUAUGAAACAUCUGUGCUUGGGAGAAAUGGAAUAGAAUCUUUAGCUUCAGCUUUAAGGUUCAUGCUUGUAUGAUUGAACUUGCUCCCUUCAGAAAGUGGGUGGGCUUUUUUGUACAAGAGAGAGAAACCAGCCAGAGAUGAAAGGCAAAGGAGAGGGGCUAGCAGACCCUACUUAGCUUCUAAACUCUAAAGCAGUGUUUCUCAACCUUGACAAUUUUAAGGCACGUGGACUUCAACUCCCAGAAUUCCACAGCCAGCAAUGCUGGCUGUGGAAUUCUGGGAGUUGAAGUCCACAUGCCGUAAAAUUGUCAAGGUUGAGAAACACUGCUCUAAAGGAACUUCUGGGAUAAGGAGAAGGGUGUUGAGUUAAGAUACUUAACAAACUUUGCAUGCUGCAUCACACAGCUUCCUUAGAAAGAUAGUGUUGGAUAUUGGUGGAAGAAUGGGAAAAUAUGUAGCUGAACUCACUGAAAUUUAUGUGAUGUUGUGAUUUAAAAAUAAACUUUUAUAAAAUGAUAAACUGUUGGUACAUGCCUCCAGAAAAAUUAUCUAGAAUUAUAAAGUUAUUUCAAAUGUAUAUAGGAAAUAUGGAAACUAGGAAGGCUGUUUCGAUCAUGACUGGUGGAUACAAAAAAGCCAAAAAACGUUGGGUUCAAAUACAAUCAAACAAAGAAUUUUAAACAUGUAAUUGAAAUAGUAAAUAUUCUUGUUGGAACUAAUUGAUAGAUAAAUAGAAAACAGUUGUGGAAGACUGCUUUGUAUAAGGUCACUGCUACAAUUAUUGUAUGCACAAAAAUGGAAAGAAUAAAAUACCUACAAUGGAGGAAUGUCUGUUGAAGAUGACAGAAUUAGCAGAGAUAGAAAAAUUGAGUUGUUUGUUUAGAAAAGGAUAAUUUUAUUUAUUUAUUUAUUUAUGGGUUGUUGUUUUUUAUAUCCUACCUUUAUAUCCUCCUCCUCCAUUUUCAAUCAUUAUAAUGUUUGGCCUUUGGUCAGUUGUUAUUACCAAUAUAUUUUUAAGAAUAAGAAUAAUAUUUGUGGAUGAAAAUAUUGUGUCAUUAGGUGACAGAUGAACAAGAUUUAAAAAAAAAAUCUCCUCAUGGCAGGUAUAAUUUGUCUGAAACCACCAUUUAAAGUGAUCUAUUCAAAAUAGGGAAUAGUGAGUUUCUGUCUCCCAUUAGCACACUUACUCUGUACUUUACUGUAUACGUUUCGGAGAUCCUGAUGAGCACAAUAAAAGUUCUUAUUUGCAUGCAAAGUGCCAUGCAUGAGGGAUUUCUCUAUCCCUUUUAUGCAUAAGAGAAAGUGAUUGACUCACUUUUCCAAACAUUGUUUAAGAAACUUUCCUCCUCCCCAGUUUAUUCAACAGCUCUUGCCAGGUGCUGAGACCCCGUCCCUCCCCAAAGAACUGUUGUGCAUCUGGACUAUGCUGUAAUGGUGACUCAAAAUUUCUAUUGACAGAGCAGAUGAAAAGAUCAAUUUUGCUAGUGCUUUCCAAAGCAUGAGAUCAUGGCUUCUUAGUAAUUUGAAUUAUGAAUUUUAUUAUCUUCUCUAGGUUCUUAAUUGCACAACUAAUGCACUUAGGUUUUUGUAAAAAUAUACAAAGCUUUCAAUACAUGUACUCAAUUAGGCUUGGAAACAUUACGACUUCAGAAAACGCUACCAUCCUUUUUACCCAUGGAAUUAACAAAUUGACAGUUUGAUUCAAGCUUGCAAUUCUUUAAUGCUGGCUCCUCUCACUUUAGAAAGUACAUUUGAGAGUUAUCAUUUGAGAAUGAAGCAUUAUGAAUGGCCUAUGCUUCUAGCAUACAGUACCUAUAUGAAGAACAGAUAAAUUAACUUUACAUUAUUGUUCUUGGCAUGUCUCAUGCCUUCAAAGACUUAUGCAACAAUUUAUCAAAGGGGAUGAAAUAUUAACCUGGCCAAACCAUGGCAUCUAUGAAAAUGAAGUGUGUAUUUUUUCACCUAAAAUAUGGAUUGUACAUUAAGCUGUACAUUAGGCCUGCCAUAAACAAAUGACCUUAGUAUCCCAUCAUCUUACAUAAUGUAUCUCUGUUAUGCAAAUACUGAGAAAUUACACUGGCAGAAGAAAUAUGAACCAAUUUGUUCCAUUGGCAUACUUAGAUAAUCAUGUAUUUUAACUGAGAUGCUGACCUAUUUUGUAAAGUUGUCAUUACAUUUGGAAUGUAAUUUGGAAAAACAUCACUUUGCCCCCCCCCUUCUUUUUUUUAAAUGCUCAUUUACAGGAACACAAAUUGAUUAAGCUGCAGGUCCAAUGGACCCUGAAAGAAAUGAAUUGUCUGGACCCAUUUCAAUUCAGUUACCAUAUAUAGCAUGGGUAACACUGACCAUGCUUAACUUGGCUAGAGAUAUUGGAACCAUCCUCAUCCCAAUGACCUUCUGAGGCCUCUCUGAGGAUUAAGAGUAGGAAGCAAUAUUUUUCAGUGGUUCUCCUCUUUUCUGAAGAGACAGUUUCAGUCAGCAGAGUAGGAGAGAAAAUAAGAUCUAGUAGAAUAGACUCUUUAUAUGUCUUCUUGAGCUGCCCAGGGUGAAUAGAUGAAUAAAUUAAAGAUUGCCAUGUUUGGAGGCCACAGAAGCAUAUAUUUUCCUUUGGUAUUCCUCGUAUUAUGGAAUAGAAACCCCAUCUAUGAUAUUCAGCCAUAUUUUAAUCAUAAGAUACAAAUGUUCUCCUUAUCAGAAGCACUUAAGCAAUCAAACUUUCCCAAAUUUCAUUUUCUCAGGAGUUAUAGGUCCCAGAUUUCGGACCCAUUCUAUAAGUUAGCCAAUUUAAGGCAUCUUGGUUUAAAAAAUGUUGCCUUAUGAUGCACCAUUUCACCCAGGUAAAGGUUAUGGCAACUGGAGUUUUAGUAAUAUAUAUUUAAUAGAUUAAUAUUGUUCUUUUGAAACUGUUAUUAUAACUUUUGUAGCCAUCUUGCAAACAGUAUUUAUAACAAUUCACAGUGAUGUCAAACUGAUGUCCUUUAUGUUAUGGCAUCAUUGGGCAAAUGCUAGGAUUGUGUAUUUGUGAUCAUUAAUGGAAAUAUGUUAUGUCACAUCAUUUGCAUUUAGCUGUAACAAUGCUUGAGUCACUAUUUAUCUGCUUCUCCUCCUUCAAAUAUUCAUGUUGACUUGCCAAAUUUGAAAAAAAAAACUUUAAUUCUU